UACGGAGUUACAAAGGACGACAUUAGACGAAUCAUCUGGAAAGAUGAAUCAAAGAAGGUAAUAAUCCUGUAGUCGAAAAUGUUGUCUCUCUUGAGUGGAUCCUGAGUACGACGGAGCACGUGAAAUUCCGUCGGAAUCUGGGAGGACCAUCUCCUAAGGCUAAAUACUCUCUAGUGACCGAUAGUGAACCAGUACCGUGAGGGAAAGGUGAAAAGCACCCCGGAAGGAGAGUGAAAUAGAACCUGAAACCGUGUGCUUACAAGUAGUCAGAGCCCGUUAAUGGGUGAUGGCGUGCCUUUUGUAGAAUGAACCGGCGAGUUACGAUUUGAUGCAAGGUUAAGCAGUAAAUGUGGAGCCGUAGCGAAAGCGAGUCUGAAUAGGGCGUUUAGUAUUUGGUCGUAGACCCGAAACCAGGUGAUCUACCCUUGGUCAGGUUGAAGUUCAGGUAACACUGAAUGGAGGACCGAACCGACUUACGUUGAAAAGUGAGCGGAUGAACUGAGGGUAGCGGAGAAAUUCCAAUCGAACCUGGAGAUAGCUGGUUCUCUCCGAAAUAGCUUUAGGGCUAGCCUCAAGUGAUGAUUAUUGGAGGUAGAGCACUGUUUGGACGAGGGGCCCCUCUCGGGUUACCGAAUUCAGACAAACUCCGAAUGCCAAUUAAUUUAACUUGGGAGUCAGAACAUGGGUGAUAAGGUCCGUGUUCGAAAGGGAAACAGCCCAGACCACCAGCUAAGGUCCCAAAAUAUAUGUUAAGUGGAAAAGGAUGUGGCGUUGCCCAGACAACUAGGAUGUUGGCUUAGAAGCAGCCAUCAUUUAAAGAGUGCGUAAUAGCUCACUAGUCGAGUGACACUGCGCCGAAAAUGUACCGGGGCUAAACAUAUUACCGAAGCUGUGGAUUGUCCUUUGGACAAUGGUAGGAGAGCGUUCUAAGGGCGUUGAAGCAUGAUCGUAAGGACAUGUGGAGCGCUUAGAAGUGAGAAUGCCGGUGUGAGUAGCGAAAGACGGGUGAGAAUCCCGUCCACCGAUUGACUAAGGUUUCCAGAGGAAGGCUCGUCCGCUCUGGGUUAGUCGGGUCCUAAGCUGAGGCCGACAGGCGUAGGCGAUGGAUAACAGGUUGAUAUUCCUGUACCACCUAUAAUCGUUUUAAUCGAUGGGGGGACGCAGUAGGAUAGGCGAAGCGUGCGAUUGGAUUGCACGUCUAAGCAGUAAGGCUGAGUAUUAGGCAAAUCCGGUACUCGUUAAGGCUGAGCUGUGAUGGGGAGAAGACAUUGAGUCUUCGAGUCGUUGAUUUCACACUGCCGAGAAAAGCCUCUAGAUAGAAAAUAGGUGCCCGUACCGCAAACCGACACAGGUAGUCAAGAUGAGAAUUCUAAGGUGAGCGAGCGAACUCUCGUUAAGGAACUCGGCAAAAUGACCCCGUAACUUCGGGAGAAGGGGUGCUCUUUAGGGUUAACGCCCAGAAGAGCCGCAGUGAAUAGGCCCAAGCGACUGUUUAUCAAAAACACAGGUCUCUGCUAAACCGUAAGGUGAUGUAUAGGGGCUGACGCCUGCCCGGUGCUGGAAGGUUAAGAGGAGUGGUUAGCUUCUGCGAAGCUACGAAUCGAAGCCCCAGUAAACGGCGGCCGUAACUAUAACGGUCCUAAGGUAGCGAAAUUCCUUGUCGGGUAAGUUCCGACCCGCACGAAAGGCGUAACGAUUUGGGCACUGUCUCAACGAGAGACUCGGUGAAAUCAUAGUACCUGUGAAGAUGCAGGUUACCCGCGACAGGACGGAAAGACCCCGUGGAGCUUUACUGUAGCCUGAUAUUGAAAUUCGGCACAGCUUGUACAGGAUAGGUAGGAGCCUUUGAAACGUGAGCGCUAGCUUACGUGGAGGCGCUGGUGGGAUACUACCCUAGCUGUGUUGGCUUUCUAACCCGCACCACUUAUCGUGGUGGGAGACAGUGUCAGGCGGGCAGUUUGACUGGGGCGGUCGCCUCCUAAAAGGUAACGGAGGCGCUCAAAGGUUCCCUCAGAAUGGUUGGAAAUCAUUCAUAGAGUGUAAAGGCAUAAGGGAGCUUGACUGCGAGACCUACAAGUCGAGCAGGGUCGAAAGACGGACUUAGUGAUCCGGUGGUUCCGCAUGGAAGGGCCAUCGCUCAACGGAUAAAAGCUACCCCGGGGAUAACAGGCUUAUCUCCCCCAAGAGUUCACAUCGACGGGGAGGUUUGGCACCUCGAUGUCGGCUCAUCGCAUCCUGGGGCUGUAGUCGGUCCCAAGGGUUGGGCUGUUCGCCCAUUAAAGCGGUACGCGAGCUGGGUUCAGAACGUCGUGAGACAGUUCGGUCCCUAUCCGUCGUGGGCGUAGGAAAUUUGAGAGGAGCUGUCCUUAGUACGAGAGGACCGGGAUGGACAUACCUCUGGUGUACCAGUUGUCGUGCCAACGGCAUAGCUGGGUAGCUAUGUGUGGACGGGAUAAGUGCUGAAAGCAUCUAAGCAUGAAGCCCCCCUCAAGAUGAGAUUUCCCAACUUCGGUUAUAAGAUCCCUCAAAGAUGAUGAGGUUAAUAGGUUCGAGGUGGAAGCAUGGUGACAUGUGGAGCUGACGAAUACUAAUCGAUCGAAGACUUAAUCAA
This 2611-nucleotide ribosomal RNA is filed under the name Staphylococcus aureus DAR5844. Its description in RNAcentral is "bacterial LSU rRNA". It matches the Rfam family "Bacterial large subunit ribosomal RNA", at positions 309 to 2925 of the family's 2925-position model. Lineage: Bacteria; Bacillati; Bacillota; Bacilli; Caryophanales; Staphylococcaceae. RNAcentral also lists the same sequence under 2 other names. The record is from RNAcentral.